This is a long non-coding RNA of Anguilla anguilla (European eel), 259 nucleotides long. RefSeq lists it as uncharacterized. The transcript has 3 exons. Lineage: Eukaryota; Metazoa; Chordata; Actinopteri; Anguilliformes; Anguillidae. The record is from RefSeq and is a predicted model, not a curated record.
AGGACGAUCUCCGUGGAAACAGCUGUCCGCGAAGUCUUCACCGUGAGAAGACGGAUGAGUCAAUUAAGGAACCUGUGAUUAAGGGUGUGAGUAGGCUGGUGCUGACAGAACUGUGAAGGUGAAAGGCACAAUGUGAUCCGCUCGAGAGAUGCACAAAGAACCGACACGCUCUUCCUUCCCGAAGUCCUCCGCUCGGACGUGAAGCCGGCCACGCACGGUAAUGAGACGGAAGAUUCAUCGCCGCUGACAUUCCCGGCUA